RNAcentral lists this ribosomal RNA (397 nucleotides) under uncultured bacterium. Its description in RNAcentral is "partial 16S ribosomal RNA". It matches the Rfam family "Bacterial small subunit ribosomal RNA", at positions 523 to 918 of the family's 1533-position model. The record is from RNAcentral.
AUACGUAGGUGGCAAGCGUUGUCCGGAAUUAUUGGGCGUAAAGCGCGCGCAGGUGGUUCCUUAAGUCUGAUGUGAAAGCCCCCGGCUCAACCGGGGAGGGUCAUUGGAAACUGGGGAACUUGAGUGCAGAAGAGGAUAGUGGAAUUCCAAGUGUAGCGGUGAAAUGCGUAGAGAUUUGGAGGAACACCAGUGGCGAAGGCGACUGUCUGGUCUGUAACUGACACUGAGGCGCGAAAGCGUGGGGAGCAAACAGGAUUAGAUACCCUGGUAGUCCACGCCGUAAACGAUGAGUGCUAAGUGUUGGGGGGUUUCCGCCCCUCAGUGCUGCAGCUAACGCAUUAAGCACUCCGCCUGGGGAGUACGGUCGCAAGACUGAAACUCAAAGGAAUUGAAGGGG